Pelobates cultripes (western spadefoot toad) is the source of this 530-nucleotide non-coding RNA. The record is from the annotation of a GenBank genome assembly. NCBI's taxonomy places the organism in Eukaryota, Metazoa, Chordata, Amphibia, Anura, Pelobatidae.
CUCCACUUGUUUUAUGUAUGUAUAAUGAUGUCCAAUGCAACUGCAGUGCAGACGUUCUAUACCUGCUACUCAGAUUCUGUGUAUAGAAUGUUGCAGCCGUCAUAAUUCAGAUGAUAGACAUUGCCACUGUUUUAAGGUGUCAGGAAGAGAGGUGCCUAAUCUCAAUUGCUGAUGACUUUCUACCAUUUACGCUGUAAAUAGGCUUGUGUAAUCUGCAAGUAAUUACGUUACAGAGUUUGUUUUAACACAGCCAGUGCUUCCUACCCCAGGGAACUCUGCUUAUUCCACUAGCUAGGUAACUGGAUUACUGUCAUGUGUCAUCAUUUUAACUGGAAUAACUAAUGUGUUCUUAAACAGAUGAUAACAAGACUAUUCCUGCUGGGAAGGGCUGUCUAAUACGUUUAUAAGAAAGCAUUCCUGGAAAUCUAUCCGUAGGGAUCAGGUCUUCUCCCUACAAUCCUAUCUCUUUGGACAGGUGCUUAUAUUGUUUUAUUGAUAGAAAGGCAAUUUCCUUGCAUGUCUAGUUUAAG